AUUGAACGCUGGCGGCAUGCCUUACACAUGCAAGUCGAACGGUAACAGGUCUUCGGAUGCUGACGAGUGGCGAACGGUGGGUAAUACAUCCGGAAGUGCCCGGACGUUGGGGAUUACGGGGCGAAAGCUUUGCUAAAACCGCAUACGAACCACGGAUGAAAGCCGGGGAUCUUCGGGCCUUCCCCGGACCGAGCGGGCGAUGGCAGAUUAGGUAGUUGGUGGGAUAAAAGCUUACCAAGCCGACGAUCUGUAGCUGGUCUGAGAGGAUGAUCAGCCACACUGGGACUGAGACACGGCCCAGACUCCUACGGGAGGCAGCAGUGGGGAAUUUUGGACAAUGGGCGAAAGCCUGAUCCAGCCAUGCCGCGUGCAGGAUGAAGGCCUUCGGGUUGUAAACUGCUUUUGUACGGAACGAAAAGCCUCUUUCUAAUAAAGAGAGGUCAUGACGGUACCGUAAGAAUAAGCACCGGCUAACUACGUG
RNAcentral lists this ribosomal RNA (481 nucleotides) under uncultured bacterium. RNAcentral describes it as "partial 16S ribosomal RNA". It matches the Rfam family "Bacterial small subunit ribosomal RNA", at positions 30 to 507 of the family's 1533-position model. The record is from RNAcentral.